RNAcentral lists this transfer RNA (65 nucleotides) under Ellipes minuta. RNAcentral's name for it is "tRNA-Gly". It matches the Rfam family "tRNA". From Rfam's summary of the family: Transfer RNA (tRNA) molecules are approximately 80 nucleotides in length. Their secondary structure includes four short double-helical elements and three loops (D, anti-codon, and T loops). The record is from RNAcentral. Lineage: Eukaryota; Metazoa; Arthropoda; Insecta; Orthoptera; Tridactylidae.
ACCUUUUUAGUAUAAAUAGUACAAUUGACUUCCAAUCAAACAGCUUGGUUCACCCAAAAAAGGUA